RNAcentral lists this ribosomal RNA (217 nucleotides) under Symbiodinium sp. clade D. RNAcentral describes it as "partial Eukaryotic large subunit ribosomal RNA". It matches the Rfam family "Eukaryotic large subunit ribosomal RNA", at positions 2961 to 3167 of the family's 3401-position model. The record is from RNAcentral. Lineage: Eukaryota; Dinophyceae; Suessiales; Symbiodiniaceae.
GUUUAGACCGUCGUGAGACAGGUUGGUUUUACCCUACAGACGAGUUGUUUGGGUGAGGUAAAGGUGGCGUGGGGUAGUACGAGAGGAACUCUCACGCAGCACAUUUGGGGUUCGCCGUGCGCUGAGCAGUGGGUGCGGCUAUGCCAUCGUGCUCCGGAUAAAAACUGGGUGCCUCUAAGACUAUUGAAACCGGUCCUGAUACAGCCUCAUCUGAUUC